UAUAACACUAAUCAAUAGUUUAAUCUAGAUCUUCAUUUUUUUUUUUUCAGAAAGUAAAUUAUUGUAUAUAAAUGUGCAAAUGUACAGGCGGGCCGAAGCCCCAAAAUAUAGCCCAAGCAUCAAUGACCCUAAGUCCAAAAUCUAAGGCAAAGCUCACAAUGAGCAAGAUAACCCUAAAAGUAAACAGAUUCAAUAAUCAGUGCACCAACACACGUGUAAGCCAACUUAAUCCGGUGCGAGAGAGAGAGAAAGCAACAGAGAAGGUCCGAAAACAUCAUCCCGCUGAUCAUCUGAGAAUAGACAUCAAAGUCUAGUGUGCGUCAGGGAAUGAAACAGAUCUGAUCUGAUCUGAGGCCAUACCUUCAAUCAAUCUGGCGGCUCCGGCGGUGGCCGGAUAAAUUCAGGAAGAUCCCAAUCGAGUUGCACUCUUCUAGCCUGCGCAGAAUCUCUAACCUUUCUUGUCAAUAAUGUUAAAACAGGCUAAAAAUGAUUUCUUAAGGCCUUUUUGGAGUCAAACUAAGUCUUAGUGAGAAUCUGGAGCAAAAAGGAGGCUGAUCUGGAGCAAAAAGGAGGCUGAUGCUGAAAAUUGCCAAGUGAGAUCGAUCGAAGAAAAGUGAGAUCGAUCGAACCCAGAUCGAUCGAAGAAAAGUGAGAUCGAUUGAACUGUUCGCGAAAGUUAUUAAAAAGUAGAUCUAAAGCUCAUUUCGCUCAACUCGGGCUGUGCUUGAAAGAGGAGAUCCUAGGGACGAGUUCUCACAUUCUUGGACUCUAAAAGCCUUGUAUAUAUGAGAGAUUGAACUAUUUUUGUGGAGAGAUCCAUAUUUUUACAUUGCAAUUUCUAUAUUGUUGUAGUUUCUCUCUUUGGAAAGUUAGGGAUUAGGGUUUGAAGAAAAGAGGGAAGUGGAGGCACAUCUCAAGAACCCAUCGCUAGAUCCAUUCACUCUUUCUCUCUAGAACUUCAAAGAAGAAGAAGAAAAAGAGGAAGAAGAAGAUGGAGUCAUGUUUGGAGGCUUACCCCUGAGGGUUUCAUGACCACAUUCACCUCCUCCAUGAUUGGCUAGAUCUACACUUAGGGCUUGGAUGAGCCCUAAGUCUUGUGUAAUCUAAACCUUUGUAUUUCUAUUUUUGGGGAUCUAUAUAUAUUGUUGUGAUUAGUGCUA
Molecule: long non-coding RNA, 1160 nt
Organism: Cornus florida
Lineage: Eukaryota; Viridiplantae; Streptophyta; Magnoliopsida; Cornales; Cornaceae
Exons: 2
Source: RefSeq, a predicted model, not a curated record